RNAcentral lists this ribosomal RNA (460 nucleotides) under uncultured bacterium. RNAcentral's name for it is "partial 16S ribosomal RNA". It matches the Rfam family "Bacterial small subunit ribosomal RNA", at positions 338 to 795 of the family's 1533-position model. The record is from RNAcentral.
CCUACGGGAGGCAGCAGUGAGGAAUUUUGGUCAAUGGACGAGAGUCUGAACCAGCCAAGUAGCGUGAAGGAUGACUGCCCUAUGGGUUGUAAACUUCUUUUAUAUGGGAAUAAAAUGUUCCACGUGUGGCAUUUUGUAUGUACCAUAUGAAUAAGGAUCGGCUAACUCCGUGCCAGCAGCCGCGGUAAUACGGAGGAUCCGAGCGUUAUCCGGAUUUAUUGGGUUUAAAGGGAGCGUAGGUGGAUUGUUAAGUCAGUUGUGACAGUUUGCGGCUCAACCGUAAAAUUGCAGUUGAAACUGGCAGUCUUGAGUACAGUAGAGGUGGGCGGAAUUCGUGGUGUAGCGGUGAAAUGCUUAGAUAUCACGAAGAACUCCGAUUGCGAAGGCAGCUCACUGGACUGCAACUGACACUGAGGCUCGAAAGUGUGGGUAUCAAACAGGAUUAGAUACCCCAGUAGUC